This 402-nucleotide ribosomal RNA is filed under the name Bacteroidota bacterium. Its description in RNAcentral is "Bacteroidetes bacterium partial 16S ribosomal RNA". It matches the Rfam family "Bacterial small subunit ribosomal RNA", at positions 355 to 776 of the family's 1533-position model. RNAcentral also lists the same sequence under 1 other name. Lineage: Bacteria; Pseudomonadati; Bacteroidota. The record is from RNAcentral.
UGGGGAAUUUUGCACAAUGGGGGAAACCCUGAUGCAGCGACGCCGCGUGAUUUAGAAGGCCUUCGGGUUGUAAAAAUCUUUUCUAUGGGAAGAAAAUGACAGUACCAUAGGAAUAAGGACCGGCUAAUUACGUGCCAGCAGCCGCGGUAAUACGUAAGGUCCGAGCGUUGUCCGGAAUCAUUGGGCGUAAAGGGUACGUAGGCGGGUAAGCAAGUUAGAAGUGAAAUCCUGUAGCUCAACUUCAGUAAGCUUUUAAAACUGCUCAUCUUGAGAUAUGGAAGGGAAAGUGGAAUUCCUAGUGUAGCGGUGAAAUGCGCAGAUAUUAGGAGGAAUACCGGUGGCGAAGGCGACUUUCUGGCCAUAAUCUGACGCUGAGGUACGAAAGCGUGGGUAGCAAACAGG